GCCUAUAGCUUUUUGUGUGGUUUCUCUACGGGAAUCACAGAGAGUUGGUUGGACU
This 55-nucleotide microRNA precursor is filed under the name Lotus japonicus. Its description in RNAcentral is "miR11082i stem-loop (lja-MIR11082i)". The record is from miRBase by way of RNAcentral. Lineage: Eukaryota; Viridiplantae; Streptophyta; Magnoliopsida; Fabales; Fabaceae.